GCCCCCGUAGCUCAGAGGAUAGAGCACUUGUCUUCUAAACAAUUGGUCGGGAGUUCGACUCUCUCCGGGGGCG
Molecule: transfer RNA, 73 nt
Filed under: Anaerolineae bacterium
Lineage: Bacteria; Bacillati; Chloroflexota; Anaerolineae
Description: tRNA-Arg
Rfam family: tRNA
About the family: Transfer RNA (tRNA) molecules are approximately 80 nucleotides in length. Their secondary structure includes four short double-helical elements and three loops (D, anti-codon, and T loops). Further hydrogen bonds mediate the characteristic L-shaped molecular structure. tRNAs have two regions of fundamental functional importance: the anti-codon, which is responsible for specific mRNA codon recognition, and the 3' end, to which the tRNAs corresponding amino acid is attached (by aminoacyl-tRNA synthetases). tRNAs cope with the degeneracy of the genetic code in two manners: having more than one tRNA (with a specific anti-codon) for a particular amino acid; and 'wobble' base-pairing, i.e. permitting non-standard base-pairing at the 3rd anti-codon position.
Source: RNAcentral